RNAcentral lists this ribosomal RNA (298 nucleotides) under uncultured cyanobacterium. RNAcentral's name for it is "partial 16S ribosomal RNA". It matches the Rfam family "Bacterial small subunit ribosomal RNA", at positions 1077 to 1382 of the family's 1533-position model. The record is from RNAcentral. Lineage: Bacteria; Bacillati; Cyanobacteriota.
GGGUUAAGUCCCGCAACGAGCGCAACCCUUGUUUUAGUUGCCUUUUAUGGAACUCUAAAAGACUGCUGGUUAUAAACCGGAGGAAGGUGGGGAUGACGUCAAGUCAGCAUGCCCCUUACACCCUCGGGCUACACACGUGCUACAUUGGGCGAGACAAUGAGAUGCAAAUCUGCAAAGACUAGCUAAUCUAUAAACUCGCUCUAAGUUCGGAUUGUAGGCUGCAACUCGCCUACAUGAAGGUGGAAUCGCUAGUAAUCGCUGGUCAGACUAUACAGUGGUGAAUUCGUUCCCGGGCCUU